Molecule: ribosomal RNA, 253 nt
Filed under: uncultured bacterium
Lineage: Bacteria
Description: partial 16S ribosomal RNA
Rfam family: Bacterial small subunit ribosomal RNA
Source: RNAcentral
UACGUAGGGUGCAAGCGUUAAUCGGAAUUACUGGGCGUAAAGCGUGCGCAGGCGGCUUUGCAAGUCAGAUGUGAAAUCCCCGGGCUCAACCUGGGAACUGCAUUUGUGACUGCAUGGCUGGAGUGCGGCAGAGGGGGAUGGAAUUCCGCGUGUAGCAGUGAAAUGCGUAGAUAUGCGGAGGAACACCGAUGGCGAAGGCAAGCCCCUGGGCCUGCACUGACGCUCAUGCACGAAAGCGUGGGGAGCAAACAGG